This 142-nucleotide microRNA precursor is filed under the name Loxodonta africana (African savanna elephant). Its description in RNAcentral is "miRNA (ENSLAFG00000023992.1)". Lineage: Eukaryota; Metazoa; Chordata; Mammalia; Proboscidea; Elephantidae. The record is from RNAcentral.
CAGCACACCCAGUUAAAUUUGAAUUUCAGAUAAAGAACCAAAACUUUUAGUAUAAACAUGUCCCAUACAAUAUUUGGGACAUACUUAUACUAAGCAAUCAUUCCUUGUUUAUCUGAAAUUCAGACAUACCUAAGCAUUCUGU